UCGGGAAUCUUGGGCAAUGGGCGAAAGCCUGACCCAGCAACGCCGCGUGAGGGAUGAAGGCCCUCGGGUCGUAAACCUCUGUCGGAAGGGAAGAACGACCGCAAGGUGAAUAAUCUUGGGGUCUGACGGUACCUUCAAAGGAAGCGCCGGCUAACUCCGUGCCAGCAGCCGCGGUAAUACGGAGGGCGCAAGCGUUGUUCGGAAUCAUUGGGCGUAAAGCGCGUGUAGGCGGCUUGGCAAGUCGGGUGUGAAAUCCCGGGGCUCAACCCCGGAACUGCAUUCGAUACUGCCUGGCUAGAGUCCCGGAGAGGAGGGCGGAAUUCCCGGUGUAGAGGUGAAAUUCGUAGAUAUCGGGAGGAACACCAGUGGCGAAGGCGGCCCUCUGGACGGUGACUGACGCUGAGAUGCGAAAGCGUGGGGAGCAAACAGGAUUAGAUACCCUGGUAGUCCACGCUGUAAACGUUGGGUGCUGGGUGUCGCGGGUAUUGACCCCUGCGGUGCCGACGCUAACGCAUUUAGCAUCCCGCCUGGGGAGUACGGUCGCAAGAUUA
Molecule: ribosomal RNA, 551 nt
Filed under: uncultured bacterium
Lineage: Bacteria
Description: bacterial SSU rRNA
Rfam family: Bacterial small subunit ribosomal RNA
Source: RNAcentral